Orbicella faveolata is the source of this 209-nucleotide long non-coding RNA. The record is from RefSeq and is a predicted model, not a curated record. NCBI's taxonomy places the organism in Eukaryota, Metazoa, Cnidaria, Anthozoa, Scleractinia, Merulinidae.
UCAUUUGAUACUGAGACAUCAUUUCCAACAUGGGCAUGAGAUCUCUGUUGGACCUAGGGGAACAUAAUGCAGAAUGAUAAAUUGUGUCUGAGAAAAAAGAUUACCUGGAAUGAGACAGGAGGAAAGGUCAGUUUGACACAAGUGGCAGAAAACUUUGUGGAUUAACAGGUAAGGACUUGAUCAAUAAAGCGGUUUUCAAUCAAAUGCUG